Molecule: ribosomal RNA, 106 nt
Filed under: Escherichia coli
Lineage: Bacteria; Pseudomonadati; Pseudomonadota; Gammaproteobacteria; Enterobacterales; Enterobacteriaceae
Also listed under: 3 other names
Source: RNAcentral
GUAGCGCGGUGGUCCCACCUGACCCCAUGCCGAACUCAGAAGUGAAACGCCGUAGCGCCGAUGGUAGUGUGGGGUUUCCCCAUGCGAGAGUAGGGAACUGCCAGGC